Molecule: ribosomal RNA, 253 nt
Filed under: uncultured bacterium
Lineage: Bacteria
Description: partial 16S ribosomal RNA
Rfam family: Bacterial small subunit ribosomal RNA
Source: RNAcentral
UACGGGGGGGGCAAGCGUUGUUCGGAAUUACUGGGCGUAAAGGGUUCGUAGGUGGCUUGCUAAGUCAGACGUGAAAUCCCUCAGCUUAACUGGGGAACUGCGUCUGAGACUGGCAAGCUUGAGUGCAGGAGAGGAACGCGGAAUUCCAGGUGUAGCGGUGAAAUGCGUAGAUAUCUGGAGGAACACCGGUGGCGAAGGCGACAUCCUGGACCGGUAUUGACGCUGAGGCGCGAAAGCCAGGGGAGCAAACGGG